This 253-nucleotide ribosomal RNA is filed under the name uncultured bacterium. Its description in RNAcentral is "partial 16S ribosomal RNA". It matches the Rfam family "Bacterial small subunit ribosomal RNA", at positions 524 to 776 of the family's 1533-position model. The record is from RNAcentral.
UACGUAGGGUGCAAGCGUUGUCCGGAAUUAUUGGGCGUAAAGAGCUCGUAGGCGGUUUGUCACGUCGGCUGUGAAACCCUGGGGCUCAACCCCGGGCCUGCAGCCGAUACGGGCUGACUAGAAUUCGGUAGGGGAGUCUGGAAUUCCUGGUGUAGCGGUGAAAUGCGCAGAUAUCAGGAGGAACACCGGUGGCGAAGGCGGGUCUCUGGGCCAUUACUGACGCUGAGGAGCGAAAGCGUGGGGAGCGAACAGG